Molecule: long non-coding RNA, 2964 nt
Organism: Uranotaenia lowii
Lineage: Eukaryota; Metazoa; Arthropoda; Insecta; Diptera; Culicidae
Exons: 6
Source: RefSeq, a predicted model, not a curated record
CGUACACUGAAUCUUCAAUAUCAUUCAGUUCCGAUUACCCUAAUAGUGACUAUCCGUUGUAUCGUCCUUAAACAAUCCAAUUUUCAAUACUAUUUUAUUCAUAAUGCGCCUUCGCUAGAAAUGAUCAUUAAACUAUUACUGGAAGAUACAGUUUGUGAUCUAAAAACGAAUUAGUGGAAUCCGAUUUUUUGUCCUAGCUGUGUUUGCAUAAUUCGCAAACAAAAGAAAAAAAUGGCGUGUUUGCGAUUGCAUCGAUAAUUUCUCGGUUGGAAAACUUCAAUUUAGCCGGAAAUUAGGACUGAAAGAACAAAUAUUUGCACCGGAAAAACAGUGAAAUUGGUUCUGACGGAGGUGGAAAAACCAUUCAGGCGGCUGCUCAAUCAACAGAAAAGCGGUAGUGAAAAUUAAACCGUGCCUUCUAUACCUCAAUUUCGGAGGAAUGACAACAUCAUCCACCUUGGCCGAUGCGCUGUCCAAUGUAGUCGUGCUGGACGAGUUGCCGUUGCCGACUCGACAAGCUUCCAUCGAAGCGGAGCCUUGUUCCGUUCUGUUUCAGACCAGUUUUGAAACUACAAUUUCGAGGAUCGCAGAGUUCGUAACCGGAAUUGUAAAUUCAUCAAGAACGUCGAACUCUAAUUUGAAUCAACUUUGGACGAAGGAAAAAAAGAUGCCUUUAUGUAUGCACCUGGCGGUGCUGCUCCCGAGCAAAACGCUGUCAAAAUCAAACGACCAACCUAAACGGCUGAAAAGGUAAACAAACGUAUUUUGUACUCCCAGCGGAAGGCAGUCGAAACCUUUUCCGGGGAAGUUGAAAUUCUGACUCCCGGUAAAUUUACGAAUCGCGUUUGAGAACGAUAACAGUACCUACUAGCGAAUAGCCCAAUUCCUCAAAUUAAUGUUCGUGGGCAAUCAGAAUGAACCAACGAGAAAAUCAUCAGCUUAUCUGGAGGUGGUGCUGUUUUUUAGUGAUAUGCGAAUUCCCUUAUUCCUUGCAAGUGGCUGCUGUCCAGCGCCCAAGUGAUCGAUCCCCAGGCGUAUCUGAUUCGUAUCACCAUUCAGAAGGACCACGUGAAGUACAUCAACGAAUUUUCCCGGCGGAAUGCGAAAAGUACCUAUUAGGCUGACUUUUGGAACGCUGACCAGAAUCAGGACUGCCGAGUGGCUGGAAAAUCCACACAUCAUUGACAAUAGCCAGGUUUGCAUGAAAAUAAUGUUUCAAGAUGAGUUGAAAUUUCAUCUUUGGAAGCCGUGACAAUUCAAGGUAUAUUCCGAGUCUUAGACGGAUAAUUCUUUCCUUUUGCCCAAUCAUACUUGGUGGCUUGCUUGCCUUUUUUCCUUUAAAUCCGCUGCUCAAAAAAUGUCAGGAACCUUUGCAGAAAACAGACAUCUGGGCCCAGAGAAGGCGAGCAAAACUAAUUUUUGUUACACGACGUGAAAAGGAACAGUUUUUGAAUAACAUGACCGAGUACUACCAACGGAAAGACUACUCCGAGGGCAAGGGAUGCAUAUUUCGAAUGUUUACGGAUGCUUCACAUCACGCCGGAGAGGAUUUCUAAGAAAAGCCGGUUAAUGGUCACCUUGCAGAAAUGUUGACGAAGUUUACUGUUGCUCACAGUCUGGUCAAGAUUAUCUAACGGACUUCAAUCUGUACUACCAUGUGCUGGAAAAAAAAGAACGGCCGAGGAAUGCUCGGUACAAUUUAUAAGUUUUCCAUUUAGGAUACGGAGGAAAUUCAACCCAGUUAAUGCAACAGGACGUCAAAGUUCAUUCGUAUCUUACAGCGAAGAAAAACAUGCCAGUUAUGACCAUUGCUUUCGGAAUAAGUAUUGAUAAACCGGAUGUGCGAUUUGUUACUCUUCAUGAGCAAAAGAAAGAAAACUCUUACCAGAAGAAUGGUCUUUCCGGGCAAGAUGCAAACGAGUCCGACUUCGAUGUCCCAGGAGGCUUUUCCAAUGUUUACUCGAUAUUGAAAUACUGCAUCAAUUGGAAAAUGUAACUUGUCACUUUGCGGAUGUUUGUGACGAUAGUCGUCAACUGUGUAAUUAAUCCUUUACCGAGAUGUGGAUUAUUUGCUGAACGAAAAAUCAGCACCCGUUACCAGGCUGUGGUUGUUAUUCUGUCUCGCGUUUAAUACAAAUACAGCUCAUAAAAAAUACAAAUUAUUACGACUGCCCUGACGACUCCGAAAAGAAACGACUGAGUAUUCAGCAAAACUGAAAAACUACUUGAAAAGAAGAACUGAUCAAUGAAAUCAUGCUGUAAAAGAAGAUACAUUAAGAUAACCAGGAUGUUCUGUUUGCUCUAAAUGGAAAGCAAAGAAUGAAAUUAUAUCAGGCGAUGAGUGAUCGUUUACCAAGCCCUUACUGCCCUUACUACCCUUACUACUGGAUUUGUUGGUGUGCUGAUAAUUAGCGUUAACAAAAUGAAGACGGGCUCGAUCCAGAAAAUAAUUAAUGAAAUUCGCAAAAGACUUCUAUGAGCCGUUGCAAAGAAGCGGUUCAGUACUCGGUGUGUGAUGUAGCAGCACAUAGAUUGUGUGUUGGACAAGUCGUGCUUAAAGGAAUGGCAGCCGAAGUUGGUGGCUUUGAUGUGGGAGAUGGUUUAUCCACAGGUUUAUCUGUUCGAUAACAAUGAGUCGGUUAUCAAAAUUUACAUGAAUGCAUUGGCUAGUAUCUAGGACCGAAGGAUUUGCAGAACGCGCACAUGCGCAUAUUUGGUUGAAAAUAACGGAUAUUUCCACAGAUUAAAGUUUGAGGUGCCUACUCGGUGAAAGUACUGAUUUGUGAUAAAACAUCGAUUUUCAUAGUUUUACAGAUAGAGAAAUCUAGACACUACAUUCAGUAAUAAUUCUAGUAUUGUACUCAGUAAUGUAUUCCGAGGACUGCCAGUGUAAAAUUGUUAUGUUUUUGGUGAUACGAUUGAUAUAAUUUGUUGAUUAAGCAAAAAUCUAAUGUAAUUAUUCGA